GCAUGAGAUUGUGUUGGGUUGGGGGGGUCUGCGCAUAAAAAGCUGUGUGCCCAAAUAAACAGUGUCAAAGACUGUAUCCUGGAACUGUGUCCCGUCCAGUUACUGAGGAAAUGGGUUUGACCUAUCUUAACAAAAGGGGAUAACCAGCCAGGUUACCCAGGUCCCGCUACAGUAUCAAAAAGCUAGAGAGCAUUGUGUGGAGACCAGCCACCUUUAC
This is a non-coding RNA of Pelobates cultripes (western spadefoot toad), 217 nucleotides long. The record is from the annotation of a GenBank genome assembly. Lineage: Eukaryota; Metazoa; Chordata; Amphibia; Anura; Pelobatidae.